GCUUCUAGUCUAGUUUCAAGGGUCUCUAGUUUUCUUAUCUUUUGGCAAUAGCCAUUCCAGUUUCUCUUUCAAUAUAUAUACUUGUUUAUAUAUAUUUUGUUACCUCUCUUUGAGUGAAGGCUCACUUGACUGAAUUGUUUUUUCAUCGAGUUCUUAUCCUUGACAAAAAGGCCCUAGCUUGUCCUAUUUAUACUUUGUUCUACCACCUUGCACUUUCUAGAAUGUUCUUAGGUUGUGGAUCCUACUUAGAUAACUGCCUUAAAUUUCUUUUACAAGGUUCUAUGGUAUAUUCUAUCCUACAUAACCACCCUAAAUUCUUUCUAGAAUGUUCUACAAUAGGUCCUACUUGGUCUAAUAACUUAAUCCCAAUUCUAAAAACUUCCAUGGUUCUAACUAUCUAUCUCUAUACAAAUAUCUAUACUUUAUUACACUAAAGAUCUUAGAAAUACUCACUGACCUUCAAAUUCCAAUUUUUGAGACCUCAACUCACAAACACCUUAACAUACUUUGAUCUAAUUAUUUGAUUGACCUCAAAAUUUGUUACAUAUUAACAACUAAUAUACCAAUGCAUUGUCCAAAAUUCACCUAUAUGCACAUUGCAAAACUCAAGAAAUCAUCAAAUUUAUAAACAUAUUUUUAUUUCUCAAGAUCUAAACUCACUAAAAAUAUUAUUAAAUUUGAAAAUCUGCCAAAAACUCAAUAUUGACUUAAUUGAAAUAAAACCAAAGCUCAAAAUAUUUUCCUUAAGUUAAUUCUCAUAUCUUAUUCUUUGAUCUACCAAAGAUCUUUGGAAUCACCGUAGGUAUAUGGUUUUGUGCCUUAAGAUUUGAUUUCGACUGAGAUUGACAACCAAUCCUCUCCUAG
RNAcentral lists this long non-coding RNA (864 nucleotides) under Physcomitrium patens. RNAcentral describes it as "long non-coding RNA (PPAT_LNC008763)". Lineage: Eukaryota; Viridiplantae; Streptophyta; Bryopsida; Funariales; Funariaceae. The record is from RNAcentral.